RNAcentral lists this ribosomal RNA (800 nucleotides) under Devriesea agamarum. RNAcentral describes it as "bacterial SSU rRNA". It matches the Rfam family "Bacterial small subunit ribosomal RNA", at positions 60 to 872 of the family's 1533-position model. Lineage: Bacteria; Bacillati; Actinomycetota; Actinomycetes; Micrococcales; Dermabacteraceae. The record is from RNAcentral.
AGUCGAACGAUGAAGCCUAGCUUGCUGGGUGGAUUAGUGGCGAACGGGUGAGUAACACGUGAGUAACCUGCCCCCUACUCUGGGAUAACCUCGGGAAAUCGGGGCUAAUACCGGAUAUGACUUCAUGCCGCAUGGUGUGGGGUGGAAAGUUUUUCGGUGGGGGAUGGACUCGCGGCCUAUCAGUUUGUUGGUGAGGUAAUGGCUCACCAAGGCGAUGACGGGUAGCCGGCCUGAGAGGGCGACCGGCCACACUGGGACUGAGACACGGCCCAGACUCCUACGGGAGGCAGCAGUGGGGAAUAUUGCACAAUGGGCGCAAGCCUGAUGCAGCGACGCCGCGUGAGGGAUGACGGCCUUCGGGUUGUAAACCUCUUUCAGUAGGGAAGAAGCGAAAGUGACGGUACCUGCAGAAGAAGCGCCGGCUAACUACGUGCCAGCAGCCGCGGUAAUACGUAGGGCGCAAGCGUUGUCCGGAAUUAUUGGGCGUAAAGAGCUUGUAGGUGGCUUGUCGCGUCUGCCGUGAAAAUCCAGGGCUUAACUCUGGACGUGCGGUGGGUACGGGCAGGCUAGAGUGUGGUAGGGGAGACUGGAAUUCCUGGUGUAGCGGUGAAAUGCGCAGAUAUCAGGAGGAACACCGAUGGCGAAGGCAGGUCUCUGGGCCAUUACUGACGCUGAGAAGCGAAAGCAUGGGGAGCGAACAGGAUUAGAUACCCUGGUAGUCCAUGCCGUAAACGUUGGGCACUAGGUGUGGGGACCAUUCCACGGUUUCCGCGCCGUAGCUAACGCAUUAAGUGCCCCGC